Molecule: ribosomal RNA, 404 nt
Filed under: uncultured bacterium
Lineage: Bacteria
Description: bacterial SSU rRNA
Rfam family: Bacterial small subunit ribosomal RNA
Source: RNAcentral
UGAGGAAUAUUGCACAAUGGGCGCGAGCCUGAUGCAGCAACGCCGCGUGAGGGACGAAGGCCUUCGGGUUGUAAACCUCUUUUCUGAGGGACGAGGAAGGACGGUACCUCAGGAAUAAGUCUCGGCUAACUACGUGCCAGCAGCCGCGGUAAAACGUAGGAGGCGAGCGUUAUCCGGAUUUACUGGGCGUAAAGCGCGCGCUGGUGGCUUCGUGAGUCGGACAUGAAAGCUCCUGGCUUAACUGGGAGAGGCUGUUCGAUACUGCGAGGCUUGAGGUUGGGAGAGGGACGCGGAAUUCCCGGUGUAGUGGUGGAAUGCGUAGAUAUCGGGAGGAACACCAGUGGCGCAAGCGGCGUCCUGGCCCACACCUGACGCUGAGGUGCGAAAGCGUGGGUAGCAAACAG